This 206-nucleotide long non-coding RNA is filed under the name Populus trichocarpa (black cottonwood). RNAcentral's name for it is "long non-coding RNA (PTRI_LNC000880)". The record is from RNAcentral. Lineage: Eukaryota; Viridiplantae; Streptophyta; Magnoliopsida; Malpighiales; Salicaceae.
UUUUCUAUAUAUGUUUUUUGAAAAAAAAAAUAUUAUAUUUUAUUCUUUAUACUUGGAAUAUUUAUCAUUCUACAUUUGACUUAUUUAUACAUUUCUUUUUGUUCUUAUCUUUAUUUUUUGUAUUUUUUUUCUUUUCUUUCCUUACACUUUUUUAUAAAUCAUUAUACAAAACUAAAAGUAAAUGGUGUUUCAUUGUAGCAAUUGCA